This 407-nucleotide ribosomal RNA is filed under the name uncultured bacterium. RNAcentral describes it as "partial 16S ribosomal RNA". It matches the Rfam family "Bacterial small subunit ribosomal RNA", at positions 28 to 526 of the family's 1533-position model. The record is from RNAcentral.
GACGAACGCUGGCGGCGUGCCUAAUACAUGCAAGUAGAACGGAGUUGCGAACGGGGGAGUAACGCGUAGGUAACUGCCUCAUAGCGGGGGAUAACUAUUGGGAACGAUAGCUGAAACCGCAAACUUAUAGAUGGACCUUCGUUGUAUUCGCUAGUUGGUGAGGUAAAGGAUAACCAAGGCGCCGAUCAAUAGCCGACCUGGGAGGGGUGUCCGCCACACUGGGACUGGAGCACGGCCCAGACGCCGACGGGAGUCAGCAGUAGGGAAUCUUCGGCAAUGGACGGAAGGCUGACCGAGCAACGCCGCGGGAGUGAAGAAGGUUUUCGGAUCGUAAAGCUAUGUUGUUAGAGAAGCGGUAACUAACCAGAAAGGGACGGCUAACUACGUGCCAGCCGCCGCGGUAAUAC